UCCGGUUUGGCACCGGCAGUCUCCCUAGAGUUCCCGGCAUUACCCGCUGGCAACUAAGGACAGGGGUUGCGCUCGUUGCGCCACUUAAGGCAACACCUCACGGCACGAGCUGACGACAGCCAUGCACCACCUGUGCGGGCUCCGAGGAGCGCCGUAUCUCUACGGUUUCACCCCGCAUGUCAAGCCCAGGUAAGGUUCUUCGCGUCGCUUCGAAUUAGGCCACAUACUCCACCGCUUGUGCGGGCCCCCGUCAAUUCCUUUGAGUUUCAACCUUGCGGUCGUACUCCCCACACCCAGCGCCCAACGUUUACGGCGUGGACUAC
RNAcentral lists this unclassified non-coding RNA (323 nucleotides) under uncultured Actinomycetes bacterium. RNAcentral's name for it is "uncultured actinobacterium contains 16S-23S intergenic spacer region". The record is from RNAcentral. Lineage: Bacteria; Bacillati; Actinomycetota; Actinomycetes.